AUUGAACGCUGGCGGCAUGCUUUACACAUGCAAGUCGAACGGUAACAGGCCGCAAGGUGCUGACGAGUGGCGAACGGGUGAGUAAUGCAUCGGAACGUGCCCAGUCGUGGGGGAUAACUACUCGAAAGAGUAGCUAAUACCGCAUACGAUCUAUGGAUGAAAGCGGGGGACCGUAAGGCCUCGCGCGAUUGGAGCGGCCGAUGUCAGAUUAGGUAGUUGGUGGGGUAAAGGCUCACCAAGCCAACGAUCUGUAGCUGGUCUGAGAGGACGACCAGCCACACUGGGACUGAGACACGGCCCAGACUCCUACGGGAGGCAGCAGUGGGGAAUUUUGGACAAUGGGCGCAAGCCUGAUCCAGCAAUGCCGCGUGCAGGAAGAAGGCCUUCGGGUUGUAAACUGCUUUUGUACGGAACGAAACGGCUCUGGUUAAUACCCGGGCUAAUGACGGUACCGUAAGAAUAAGCACCGGCUAACUACGUG
This 481-nucleotide ribosomal RNA is filed under the name uncultured bacterium. Its description in RNAcentral is "partial 16S ribosomal RNA". It matches the Rfam family "Bacterial small subunit ribosomal RNA", at positions 30 to 507 of the family's 1533-position model. The record is from RNAcentral.